AAGUAUUAAUAAUUGUUUGAAUUGUAUGCGAGUCUAAGCAUAUUUCCCCAUGGUGCCUCAAAAGCCAUUUAUUUUGGUACCUCAUAGCGGGGAUGGAACUCUCCACCGGGGGCCCAGCCGGGCUGCUGGUGACUAACAGAGAGCGCUUCAUUCAGAGGAGCUGGAGCAAAGGGUUUCCAUUUACCCCGUGUACAGCAGAAAGAAGAUACUUUCUGCUCCCCAGCAACACAGAAGAGGUUUUGUUUCCUGCUAACACUUCUUCUCAGCCUCGCGCUGACCACAACUAACAUGGGCUGCGCGACACACGCCGGUGUUCUCUAUGAUGGGCGGUUGCCUUUUCUGAGGCUCAGAACCGCUUGGGGAGUGGCCAAGAAUGGCUCCCAUUAUGAGUGGAAAAGCUGACUCGGGAAGACAAAUAUAGAUGAGAAUCAGCUUA
This is a long non-coding RNA of Cavia porcellus (domestic guinea pig), 436 nucleotides long. RefSeq lists it as uncharacterized. The transcript is spliced from 2 exons. The record is from RefSeq and is a predicted model, not a curated record. Lineage: Eukaryota; Metazoa; Chordata; Mammalia; Rodentia; Caviidae.